Molecule: ribosomal RNA, 397 nt
Filed under: uncultured bacterium
Lineage: Bacteria
Description: bacterial SSU rRNA
Rfam family: Bacterial small subunit ribosomal RNA
Source: RNAcentral
GACGAACGCUGGCGGCGUGCUUAACACAUGCAAGUCGAGCGGUAAGGCCCUUUCGGGGGUACACGAGCGGCGAACGGGUGAGUAACACGUGGGUGACCUGCCCUCAGCUCUGGGAUAAGCCCGGGAAACUGGGUCUAAUACCGGAUAUGACUCCAUGACGCAUGUUGUGGGGUGGAAAGCCUUGUGCGGCUGAGGAUGGGCCCGCGGCCUAUCAGCUUGUUGGUGGGGUGAUGGCCUACCAAGGCGACGACGGGUAGCCGGCCUGAGAGGGCUACCGGCCACACUGGGACUGAGACACGGCCCAGACUCCUACGGGAGGCAGCAGUGGGGAAUCUUGCGCAAUGGGCGAAAGCCUGACGCAGCGACGCCGCGUGAGGGAUGACGGCCUCGGUGUAAC